AUGGGCAUGGCUGAUAAGAGCUUGGCGAAGAGGAAGGCUGGGCUGAUCACCAAGACGCUGGACAGGUGCUGGAGCACACCAAUGAGGAACAAGCCUGCAGAGGGCUGUUUCUCUGUCUACGUCGGUGCUGGGAGGCAGCGGUUCGUGGUGCGGACAGAGUGCGUGAACCACCCGCUGUUCCGGGCGCUGCUCAAGGAGGCCGAGGAGGUGUUUGGGUACGCAGACGCAGGGCCCCUUGAGCUACCCUGCAACGCCGAGGCGUUCGCCGGGGUGUUGGAGCAGAUCGAGGAGGAGAAGCAGAUGGUGGGGGGAAGGAGGUGCGGCCUUGUCAGGGGGAAAUCCUACCGGCUGCUUGGCACUGGUCAGGCUGUCAUCAUCGACCGGUCGUAG
RNAcentral lists this ribosomal RNA (390 nucleotides) under Triticum aestivum (bread wheat). RNAcentral's name for it is "partial small subunit ribosomal RNA". Lineage: Eukaryota; Viridiplantae; Streptophyta; Magnoliopsida; Poales; Poaceae. The record is from RNAcentral.